RNAcentral lists this ribosomal RNA (460 nucleotides) under uncultured bacterium. Its description in RNAcentral is "partial 16S ribosomal RNA". It matches the Rfam family "Bacterial small subunit ribosomal RNA", at positions 338 to 795 of the family's 1533-position model. The record is from RNAcentral.
CCUACGGGAGGCAGCAGUGAGGAAUAUUGGUCAAUGGUCGGGAGACUGAACCAGCCAAGCCGCGUGAGGGAUGAAGGUACAGAGUAUCGUAAACCUCUUUUGUCAGGGAACAAAGGCGGGGACGCGUCCCCGGAUGAGUGUACCUGAAGAAAAAGCAUCGGCUAACUCCGUGCCAGCAGCCGCGGUAAUACGGAGGAUGCGAGCGUUAUCCGGAUUUAUUGGGUUUAAAGGGUGCGCAGGGGGGCUUUUAAGUCAGAUGUGAAAGCCUGGGGCGCAACCCCGGAACUGCCUUGGAAACUGGCAGUCUCGAGUUGGAGAGAGGUAGGCGGAAUGCGCGGUGUAGCGGUGAAAUGCAUAGAGAUCGCGCAGAACUCCGAUUGCGAAGGCAGCAUGCCGGCUCCACACUGACGCUGAGGCACGAAAGCGUGGGUAUCGAACAGGAUUAGAUACCCCAGUAGUC